Molecule: ribosomal RNA, 433 nt
Filed under: uncultured bacterium
Lineage: Bacteria
Description: partial 16S ribosomal RNA
Rfam family: Bacterial small subunit ribosomal RNA
Source: RNAcentral
AGCGAACGCUGGCGGCAGGCCUAACACAUGCAAGUCGAACGAACUCUUCGGAGUUAGUGGCGGACGGGUGAGUAACACGUGGGAACGUGCCUUUAGGUUCGGCAUAACUCAGGGAAACUUGUGCUAAUACCGAAUGUGCCCUUCGGGGGAAAGAUUUAUCGCCUUUAGAGCGGCCCGCGUCUGAUUAGCUAGUUGGUGAGGUAAAGGCUCACCACGGCGACGAUCAGUAGCUGGUCUGAGAGGAUGAUCAGCCACAUUGGGACUGAGACACGGCCCAAACUCCUACGGGAGGCAGCAGUGGGGAAUCUUGCGCAAUGGGCGAAAGCCUGACGCAGCCAUGCCGCGUGAAUGAUGAAGGUCUUAGGAUUGUAAAAUUCUUUCACCGGGGACGAUAAUGACGGUACCCGGAGAAGAAGCCCCGGCUAACUUCGUG